Vulpes vulpes (red fox) is the source of this 1976-nucleotide long non-coding RNA. Lineage: Eukaryota; Metazoa; Chordata; Mammalia; Carnivora; Canidae. The record is from Ensembl.
UAGUGCGUAUGUAAUAUACACUAAUUCAUCUUGAUAUAAACUGUAUUUAUGUGGAAUAACUCUUGCUUGAUUUGUAGCUCAUUCUGUGACUUGGAGAACUAACUCAUCCAUGUUUACAGUUUAACCAACUACCUCUUCCUUAAUUCUGAUUCUCCAAGGUAGAUCAUAAAACAGAUUUCAUUCCUAAAGCAUAAAUACCUACUAAGUAUUCCUGUGUAUCUGGUAAAGAAGCUCUCCCCCAUGGUAUUAUUUAUCUUACUUCUGCUCUUCUCCUGUGGAAUAUUAUUUAUAUUUUCUUUGCUUUCUUAAUUGUGAGUAGACAAAGGGUGGAAAAAUAAUCAUCUGAUUGUUACAGAACCAGGGUGGCUGGCUGGCUGAGUUAGGGAUUCUGGCUUUUAAAGUGAGAUUUGAACAGGAAAUGCUCAUCAAGGGAGAGAGUUUGCAGCAAGGCUGUGUUUUUAAUGUUCCCCGAGCACAUCUCCAAGACUGCAAAUGUAACUGGAAAUACUGAACAUACAAAACAGUGAUGCCUCAUAGGCACCAAUAUUUCUUUUGGGAGUCCUCAGUGGAGAUUAUGAUACCUUGUGAACAGGAAUGGAUGGAAGCAGGGGAGAGAAAGAUGUUCAUGAGUACUUGGCCAGAAAUGAUAGUGCAUGUCAACCCUCUUGGGGCAUCAAAAACUAAGACACAUUCAAGAAUGCACUGUUCUUUAUAUUUAUGCAAAGGAGAAACCAGAGUCACCCUCAGUUAAGUCUGUGAAGAUAAUGAGAUGCUUCGGUGAAAGAAUACAUUGGUGUGAGAAUGAUGCAACUUAACUCAUCACUCAGGACCCAGCCCUGGCGUCAGCUUCACAGAAUUGGAGAAACCAUGACCUGGCCACCAGUAGGCUAACCAAUCCCAAAUAAUUUACAAAAUUGUAUGACCUGUACCAAUCUGUACAGGACCUGAAUUUCAAGUAGAAUUUAGUCCAUCCAACUCACGAAGCUGCCCUCUUCACAUCUGCUAUAUGGAUCAAAUUGAGAACAGGAAAGAAUUCUUUAAACCUUUCCCUAGAAACUGAUCUUUCAAGCUUUUGGGUGGUUGAUAUCAAGAGAGGCAUUUGCCUUCUCUCUGGGAUUAUUGGUCUUUUAUGUUUAAUGGAUGUCAUUUCAGGAGCCAUCAGGUCAAUUAAUCUCAUCACCGAGGAUCAUCUUACAGGCUCAUAAAUAUUAAAAUCACACAUGACGACUGAAGGCUUACUCUCUAUAUGGUCAAAUGAUGGAUACUUAGUCACAUUUUGAAACAACCGGACACCUAGUACUUGCCUACUUAGAGGUUUAAUUGUGUUUUGCGGAUUAUAGAAAAAACCAAAUGAUAUGAUAAGACAUAGGCUACUAGUGUUUCUUUAAAGUUCACAUGGUAAUUUCCAUUAUUUUUUAUUGAAGACUGCUGACUGGAAAGAAUGAAUUCGUGACAGGGGAGGGGUGGAGAAAAAGUGAUGGGGCAACAGAUGGAUGGGCUGGAAAGAACACAGCCAGGACUGUGUGGCGACAGGGCGGCCACAGAACAGGAAGCAGCUUGAGUGGAAGAUGUCACACAGACCAGCUUCUAACAUUUACUGAGGCAGGAGGACAAAGACACCCAUAUCACACCCUGGAUCUAAAUACUUAAAGGUGAUAAAUGAGGCCAAGACAUUUUCAGAAUUUAUGCUCUAUCCUCCCUCCUUGAAAAAUAUACCUUUAUAAGAGAAAAACACAUAAAGCUAAGAUGUCUGAAUUUUAUUAUUUUUACUCAUAUCUGGGUGUUCUGUUUAUGGGAUAGCAGUGUUUGGAUGAGAAAGAAAAUAGAAAUAUGCCUAAAGUAAAUUAUUAAAUAUUUAUGCAAUAUGUUUUAUUUUAUGCCUGUAUUUUAGAAAUAUCCCUAAUUACAUUGUUACCAAGAUGUUGACUUAAUUUAACAGAAAUAAACUGGAGGAUUAAAGUAGAAUGUGAUUAUAU